Molecule: RNA transcript, 6595 nt
Organism: Panicum virgatum (switchgrass)
Lineage: Eukaryota; Viridiplantae; Streptophyta; Magnoliopsida; Poales; Poaceae
Gene name: transcription factor APG-like
Exons: 6
Source: RefSeq, a predicted model, not a curated record
CUUGUUUCAUAGAAUCCAGAACAGUUAAGUUUGUAUUUUUUUGAUUUUUUUUACGAUUUUAUAUUAAUUUUACAAAAUCACAGUUUAAUGCGUCCUAGGCGCCAGGAUCUAAAUGUAAAUUUUUUUUACAUUUAGGUCCUGUCGCCCACUGGAUGGGCGACAUGCACCCAUUUUUGAAAAUUUCCCUAUUCUGCAUAUAUUUUUGAAAUUUUGUUUUUUUAAAAAAAUAUAAAAAUGAAAAAAUUUCUCAUUUCCUCUGGGCUAAUAAUAAAUAAAUAGCCCAUGGGCUCCGAGAGCGAGCGAUAGCGACGGCUCCCUUCGCUUCCGCAGUUCCGCCGAUCCCCCUGCUCGAGCGAUAGCGACGGCUCCCUUCGCUUCCGCAGUUCCGCCGAUCCCCCUGCUCCGCGCAAAGGAACGCGCACUCCUCACCGCCACCGCCGCGCCGCUGCAAAAAAGCGAAGCGGGGAAUGCGCGAUCGCCGCCGCGCCCCCACCAGCCUCCCACCCCUCCCCUCCUUCCCCUCCCGACACCGGGACUCUCCGGCGACCGGCUCGGCCUGAGCGAGCGAUUGACUUGGUGGGCCAUGAAGUGCCUUCAAAUACAUGAAAUAGGGUGGAGGUGGAUACCAUCAGAUCGCAUGCCAUAAAAUGCUCAAUAUUUUGUGAUUCAAAUUUUGUGCUCUCCGCCUCCCUGGUUAUUAUUGUGAUUCCUGUGACCAUGGUAAUAACUUUCACAAGUACUUGUACACUCUGGAGAGGUUGCUACUUACUUAGUUGUUGAUUUUCCAGGUAAUUGUUGAAAGCUUACCAGAAUAAAAAUAUGUCUACAAGCUUUGACAUCUGUUGCCUGUUGUCACAUAUGUGCGGGUGUGUGGCCACAGUUCAGCAAUUGAUGGAACUAUUUAUAGCCACAUCUCAUGCAUAUGGCCUGUCUCUAAAGGUGUAAAGCACUAAUGGUGGCUGUUUUGAGUGUUAAAGGUAAUGGAAUUUAUCUCGACAGCUGCAAGCCCAAGAAUGGAGUACUUUCAUGGUUACAAAGGCUUUCCAAGUAUGCUUUCAUAUGUUUAUCAUCAUGCUGAUGUCAUACAGAGGCAAGAACCUUUCAGCACGUUAUGAAGCAGCAAUAUAUCUUAUGCUUUGUCUUUGUGGUUUCCUGCUACGUGUAUAACAUUUUAUUUCCUUCUAGAAAAGGUUCUCUUAUGAUUUUUAAUUGGUUGCUUGGCCUAACCUUCAUAUUUUCAGCAAAGUAAAUUAGUAUCCAAAUGAGUUUUUUAUUUAAGCAAAAUUGAUCCUGAUUGUUAUGGAUUGUGUCAGAUGGAAUCACUGAACUAUUAUUUUUAUAUAUUCGUUAUUCCAUUGGACCACUAUACCUAUGAUACCCUAGGUUCUUACUCUUAUGUGGUUUGAUUAUUAUUUUUAUAUUGUUCCUCUUUUCUGUUAUUUUCCAUUCACUAAUGAUGAUGUUAGGUGGAUGCCAAUGUACUACUGUUGGCAGAGCUGAGACUGCAUAUUAAAAUAUAAACUAAAUGUCUUUUUCAUCUGGAAGAGCACUGCCGCUCGUCCUUUGCUAUAUUCAUGUCUUGCUAUUUCUACUUCUCUUUCAUACUCACACAGAUACAUCCAAUAAUGCUGCUCAUGCAUCCGAGCAGACACAGGAUAAACAAAGAUAAUUGAAGUGCAUAUGCCCACAAGUUGAAAGUUGAAACAUCAUGGAUCUUCGACUGAGGAACAGCUGUGGUGGAUGGUUUCUGUAUCAACUUACAUACAUAUCUAUGUAACUCACUGGGUCACUUCUCUCUGGGGAAAAAGCCUUGGUCAAUCAUCACAGUUGGGGUCCUGGGGAAAAAGAGGUGGCAUCAUAUGUUGGUAUUCCAGGACAGAGAGCAUCUUCCUUUUGUUUAUUUCCGGCAGCUAGCAGGCUGGCUAGCAAUUUCUAAUAUGAAAUUGUUACUUCUCCAGUCCAACAAGAACCACUUUGCAGGCGCUGAGUGUGUCCGUGAUCAGUUAAGAAUUGGGCUUCCCAUAAUUGCAAAGAUAAUCGUGCAGGUACAAGUAUAAUGAUUUGUCCAAUUGACUGUCGCUAGCGUCAAUGGAGGCACUGAUCAUUGCGUGAGGGAACUCAUCGCCUGUGAAUUUCUUUCAUGAAACUUCGAAUACAAAAAGGGUCCACUGGAGGAGACAUUUCUUGGAGUAUAGUAUUGGAAACGAGCUGGUCAAUGCACGCAUUAUUGUUGGUAUCCUUUUCUUGUCUGACGAACGAGCAUUUUUAUCCAUGAUUCCAUGAUUAGGAUUGUAAUGGCAUCCGUCUGUACCCAUGUGACGGUGGAUACUCGUCGCCAAUUAAACAAACGCGGCACGAAUCAAAAGGCUGUGAUUGAGCAAUUUUAUAGUAUGGUUUUCCAGCUUAUCAUUUUGUCCUUUGAUUCCCCAUGCAACGGAUCUCAUCCGUUCUGGAGCCUUGCAUUGUCUGUUGUGGGGUGGUGUAGUGUAUAUUAUUAUUUGUGUAGAUUGUAUAUAUUAUUUGCUCUGGAGAUUUUAUAUGCCGGUUAUCAAACUGUCAUUGUUUGCAUCCUGCAAAUUAAAUAGAUCCUCCUAGAAUCAAUGUCACCAUCUGCUUUUCCUCCAUGCAGGACUUGCAGUUGAGCCUGGAAAACGGACUGUCAGGUAACAACCUACCUCUUGGCUGCAACUGCCAGUGCUCUCUUCCUUUUUUUUUCCUUACUCAGGAUUAUGCAUCCGUGAUACCAGGAAGGAAGUUCACCCUGCCUCCAGGUGACUAUUAUGAUAUAUAGAAAGAGGCGGCAUUAUUUUGAGUGGUGGUGAGAGAAAGGAAGGCCGGCGGCGGCAGCAGCAUGGCAAUUAGCAAGGCUGGCACUAGAAGAUCACGGGGAAGGCAAGUUUGACAAAGGAGGCAUCUUUUCUGGGGUCCCCGGGAAGCAUAGGCCCACCCCUCCCUAAUCCCUACGGUACACACACUAUACUUGGGCACGUGGGCGCGAUGGAAUGGCUCGUGACCCAUUGAUUGGCAAAAGUUCGAGCUGCAAUUCGUGGACGGCCGGCCUGCUCGGGACGCCAUUGGAUCGCCCCGGCGACUUUUGCAGGCCUGUGAAGGGCUGUGUUUAGAUGGGGAAAAUGUGGGAGAAAAAAUCACAUCGGUCAUUGUAGCAUAUUGUAGUAUUUUUCGUUUGUUUGUGGUAAAUAUUGUCCUACCAUGACCUAACUAGGCUCAAAAGAUUCGUCUCGCAACGUACAUCAAAACUAUGCAAUUAGUUUUUUUAUUUAACUACAUUUAGUACUCCAUGUAUGUGUCAUUUGCUAUUUUUAAUGUUUCGAUGUGAUAGGGGAUGUGAUGGAAAGUUUGAAAAGUUUGGAAAUUUUGUGGGAUCUAAACACACCCAAGAAGAUCACACCCAGAUUUCCCAACUGACACCUAGCUCUGUCCUUUUACCUGCCUAACAUGGUACAAUUUGGCAUAAAGUAGCAUUAGCAUCUCACCGUUUUUUCUUCUUAAAAGAAAGGGCGAUUAACCGGCGACGUACGAUCGGUACGUGCCGUCGUGCCGCGCUCUCGGGCUCGUCCUUUUCCACGCAAAGAAAUUGGGCUGUGCUUGGACUUUGCUUUCAUGCGGCGCGCAUCACUUUCCCCAGCGUCUAGCAUGUACAUGUAGCGCGAAAACUGCCCGCGUCCGACCCGCAGUUUCUUUUUGGUUCCCCCCUGUUCUUUCACUCUGAUUAGUCGGGCAGCCAGCCACAAACGCCACGUCGGCAGAUGCCUGACCCCUAGCAAUAGCAUGUGUAGUGGCGAUGCACGUCUAAUCUGCACAAUCGCAAGCAGACGUAGGCCAUCAAGUUGAAAAAAACGGUGAUUUGAAAGAGCUAUACGAAAAUAAUAGAGAAAGCCAGGUACAUCCAAUAAGCAAUACUCUGUUUAAUUAGUCAGUGUGGCGAGUUGUGUGCCAUGUGCAUGCACUGGUGCAAGAAGAGUGUAUAAUACACUGGUAUUAAUAUAACAAGGAAUAAAAGGUACUAUGAACUUGUUUUUUUAGGUCAAACAUAAUGUCCAUAAACUUUGAUUUUGUCAAGCCUGCCGACAGAUUUUCUUCUCCACUACACGUAAUACAAACUCGGCAGGGUCCACCUGCCUAUUUAAGUUAGGAAACAUCACAAAUGGCUUUGUUUUCUAGUUCAUAAGCGUGGUGGCACUUAUUUAUAAAUCCAUGGAGAAGAAAGGGGGUAACAAUUAUCUGCUUAGUUCUAUUGAAUUGCAAUGUUACACUUCUCCAUAUACCUUCCAGAGAUCCAACUAAUCAAUAUGUAAAUCGUCGAUGUUUUAUACUUGCACAUGUUUGCCAACAUGUAUUAUUUACCACUAUUUUCAUUGAAUUCAUUAAAAGCUAGUGAAAAUUAUAAUGGAAGCAUACUUUUCCAGGUAAACAAACUUGCAUUUAUCAUACCAUUCUUCACAAUCUUAAUUGUAGAAGUAACAUUUUGUCGGCACAACGUUAACCCCCAAGCACCACUGAUUUGAUAUUAGAGGGGUAUUAGGAGGGGACAUUAUCAGGUUGGGCUCCAUUUGCACACUAACGCAUCACUUUCCUUGACCCCCUCUGCUAGCAGCAAAGCCUAAUAAUGCAGCCCCGGAUCCACUGCACUGCAUGGCCCCAAGCCCCCAAUGCAAGCCACUCCUCCCUCCCUCCCUCCCUUCUCUACACUAUCUAGCUCCCUACAUGCAUCUAUCUAGACGCCUAGUCCACACAAAUUGGCCAGCACGCCCAAUUAUCCACCCAAUUAAGUUGUGCGCUUAAUGUUAUGGUUGGGAUUACGCCGGGAGGCCAGUUGACGGGCAAUCGAUUUUAAUCAAGGGGGUCCAACCCAUAACACGACUGAUUAAUCGCCCCCCGUCCCUACGAUGUGAAGUCGCACCUGCCUCAAGGUCCCCCCUCCCUCUCCCUCCUUCCAACACCAUGGUGUAUGCAUGCGUGAAGUCGCUAGCUGCUGCUACAUAGAUCAGAGGUCGCAAUAGCUACGCACGCAUCCAUGUAGCAUGUAGGCAGGCAUGUACUGAGCCAUACUUGGCAUCGGCACUCAGGCACUGCAGUUCCCCUACUUUUCUGUAAGGUCACCGUCGUCAGCGUUUGCGUAUGUAUGUAAGGGCACUUUUAAUUUAAGAUGCCGGAAUUUAGUUUGCUUGAUAUUUAUAGAAAAUAAUCGAGUUCCAAAAGGAAUUAAACCUUUCAGUGCCCCUUUUGGACUGCAGGAGUAGCCUUGGUCGUUUUUGUGUAUUGUCCGAAUUGAACUGUGAAGUGUUGUUGUGUACGUUGUGUUCUUGGGAAAGUUCCGCAUUUUCCAAAUAUGCGCGUAGCGUAUCUCAGCGUGUGUGUGUGUGUGUGUGUGUGUGUGUGUGUGUGUGUGUGUGUGUGUGUGUGUGUAUAUAUAUAUGUCAGUGUCAUCUACCGGCGGCAACUUUCGUACGUGUAGGCGUGUGGCGAAUAUACGUGCGGUUGCCGGCGCUAGCUGUUGUGCUGCCUGCCGAGAAUCCGUACAAAUACCUUAAACCUCACGUAUACAUCCGUACAAGGGUACGGUACUCGUAGCCGGUGCCCCAUUCUACACGUACACUCGUACGUAUAUAUCACCACUCGCGUGCAGGUGAUGCGCUGUCGCGUGCUGCAAGUGUGACGGAAUGGUCCAUUGUUCGCCUGGCCUACUACUCCUAUAGAGAACCCUCGACGCAAGGCUCAUACAGGCCGGCGUACCCCACUGCUGCUGCACCACGUACGGAUGAAACGUGUGGCCAGCUGCAACGCUCGCUCUCGGUGCUCUAGGAGCCCUGUACGUACGGGCCGAUUAAUUUGUGUACGUGGUGCGCUGUUCGGGGCCUGUCUUUCUUAAAAAAAAGAAAGAAAGAAAGGAAACGAACUGUUCGGGUCCUGUCACGUAUGAAUGAACUAAAGUGGGCACAGGGUUUCGUAGAUUCCGUGCGAAUCGAUCAAGUACCGGGAUACAGAUUGUAAAUGCGGCGGCACUGUAGAUGCAUAUGCCCGACGACCUUGGUUCCUUGUGUGACGGAGCUUAGCGAGAUGAGAGACUGUUGAGAUGGAACAGGUGCGAGUAGCUUUGCACAUGUACCUUCAGGAAGGUAGGGAGCACAAUUAUUUGUGUGUAAUCCACUUUAGCUGAUGCUUAGAUGUGGGGGAGCCUCGAGCUUAAUUGGAUGAAGCAUGAGAGCUAGCAGCCAGUGCCGUGACACAGUGAGAAAUAACGGUGGUCCUCGUGUACCCACCAUGCCGUAUAGUCCGUCGUUUGUCUUGAGCAUUCUUUGUUCAUAUAUAUGCACAGCACGCGCAUAGUGCGUCGACAGCAUUAUACUGGUUACUAUUUAUUUGCAUUGCCACGGCUUGAUUAUUGUUAUGCCACGCACUUACUGAUCACAAAUGUAAAUCUGUCUUUGUAUGUAUGUUUCAUUUUGUCGUUUAUCAAGAGAUUUCGUCUCGACUUUGAGCUUCUAUAUGUAAUAAAGAAAUUAGAUAAAUUUACAGUACGUAAGUGUUGCUGUGUUGAUGCUAGUAGAUUUGUUAUGAAUGAAAUUAAUACCAC